This 1714-nucleotide long non-coding RNA is filed under the name Mus musculus (house mouse). Its description in RNAcentral is "predicted gene, 20125". Lineage: Eukaryota; Metazoa; Chordata; Mammalia; Rodentia; Muridae. The record is from RNAcentral.
AUUUGCUCAUUACUUUCAUCAGAAAAGGACCAAACAGAGGGAUCUUGAUUUGGUCACUAGACCCAUGUAGCUGAGUUUUCCAGAAACUGAACGCUAACUCUGAAGUAAGAACAACAUGAGUGGCAGGGUUGAUGGAUGAAAAUCAAGUUUUGCAUCAGGGAUUUUCAGACGAGCUUUGCAUUUAGAAGAGAUUGGAGCACAAUUAAUUUAAAAACAGCCGAAGCAGUACAACAGAAAUGACACAGCAAGCUUUCCAGGACACACUCAGGAAGUAAGAGAAAAAGAACAGGGGUUAACUAAAGGGCACUGAACAAGUAAAGCUGUGCUGAAAAGAACAGUGGCCAAGGCAGGGAUAUUCUUAUACCACAAACAGUCAUGCAGAUGGAAGUCUGGCCAACAAAACCAUAAAGCAUCAUGUCUCACUGUGACUCAAUCUGUCAGCUCAAGUACAAGCCUUGAGUACACAAGUUCUUCUGCAUUCCCAAAUGCUUCCUUCUUUUGUCUCCAGUUAAAGACAUUUACCACUUUCUGGGAAGGAUUUCAACUUCAACUUUUCAUGAAAUACGAUGAGAGAUCGACUCAUGAUGGACUCAUCAGAAAUAAUUGGAGGUGGGAGGGAACAAUGUCAUCACUGACAGACUGUGCAACAACAAUUACUUGGAGCAACAGAGAGCAACGGGACAGCAGAGACCAUAUCUCCAACCAUUGAUUGUCCUUCAGCAUCAUUGGAAAUGUUCCCGAUUGCAUGUCUGUUAAAUAAAAUAUCACAUUGGACCCCUAUAUUGAUGCCAUUUUGCAGAUUGAGACAAGAUGUGAACAGUAGAAUCUCCCAGCUAUACUUAGGAGUCAAAGAAUAUAUUGAAACAAAAAACCCAGGCAGAGGCAAAACAGAUGAGGACUAACUAGUUCCUGUGCUUUGGAAAAGAUGCAAUUGACAAGUAAACCAGGAAGUAAGAGUAACUGGACCACUGCCCCUACCUCAUAGUAGUUGGAAAGGGAAAAAUUGUACUUACCAUAUAGAGAAAAAUUUGAAAUCUUGGUAGCUUAAGUGAUCAUUUCACUCAGUAAUUCGAGUGCCUGUUGAGAUGUGUGUACAAGCUCAGACAGUCUUCCUGGGCUGCGCCAGACUACUAAAAAGCCGAUGAAGCACAUUCUUUAUUCUGCUACAAAACAAAUGUGAAAAUGUCUUGAUGAAAGCUCAGCUGCUUUGCAAAUGUACAAUGAAGGCAAAUUUAACUGUCUGGGAUUGAACGAAGCCACAGUGAAAUGAUGAGAGUGGUUGCAGGAUUUUAGGAAUUUUUGUAUUUGGAUAAAUGAGAAGAUCAACCUGUCCUGUGUUCCCCGCGUGGCUACUGUGGGCUUUGAAGAAGUUAAUGUAGAGAAAGCCUGCUCUUAUGGUGUCUCGUUUUGUUAUCAAUGAAGACUGCAUCUGGACUAGGGAUGGAGGCAGGUGUCCACUUACCUUUUCAGCUCUAGGACCCUUUCUGGUACAGAAACAAAACAUAUUGCCUCAAGUUUCCAGGAGUUCACAUAUGUAUUAAUUCUGAUGAAUUAAAGAACAUAAUUUUUGGGGUGUCCUCCAGCCCUUCUGAACUUUAUGAUUGGAAAAAUGAUUUAUAGUAGCUCAAAACUUGAACGGAAACAAAAGAUUGCUCUGCUGUGUUAUAAACAAGAUUGUGUAAGCAGUCUAAUAAAAUGGGAAAUAAAUUGGGUA